GCUCGAUCGAUCCGUAGUUUUUGAAUUAGCCAUGGCGUGUACGAGCUUGGUGAAUCAGUGGAUCGGUUAGCAAUCCUUCAAUCAAGGGCCUGGAUCUUCCUGUCGAUUCGUCUCUCCUCGUGUCUCUGUCGUCCAUGCCAAAUCGUACUUCGACGAACUCGUCAAAACCGCCAUGGACGAGUCAAAGAGAACUACAAUAUAAUAAACUGUUAGUUCUAGAAUGAAGCAAUUAACCCAUCAGAGAGGUUACACAGAUCAAAUAGAAGAUGCAAAUGCUGUCAUAUUUACUUUUGGGUCAUAUCGCUUGGGGUUGCCAUAAUGGCCCAACACUCACAGCCUCUUGAUGUCAAUGUAGAGGCACAGAAGGAGGCAGCCUCCCAUUCUAGUGUCGGUAAGACAUUAAAGUUAUUUAUAUUAAUGAGCUUUUUGUUGAGGAUUGAGUGAACUUAGCUCUAAAUUCUCUAGAGUGUUUUCCUUUUAUCUUCUUGUGGGUUGAUGGGUUUUUCCUUAUUUAUUGCUUUGGUUUUUGUUGAGGGUUGAGUGACAAUAGACCUAUAUUUUUGCUUCGGUUUUAUCUUAUCUGGAAACAAAGAGGGAAAAAAAGCACACCCACAUAUACAUUGAUAAAAUAUCAUCCCUAGGUAUAUAUAUAUUCUGUCACUGUAGUUGUUUUUGUGCGGGUUCAAAAGCACUUUUACAUUAUUGGAGGGUCAACCCCAUUUUGUCCCUUGUGACGAGUAAGUGAAAAAUUAAUAAUGGACUUGUUGGGAAUGUCUUUUCUUGUGAUACUUUUUGGCGGGCAAAUAUGAUAUGAGUGGUACAUUUGAGGCAUUUCUUUUGGCCCCAUCUAUUGUUGGAUUAUAAUUUUUGUCAAAAAAAUGUGAAUAAAAAGUUUUAAAUAAAGGUUAAGUUUAUGUAAAUAUUGUACAAAAUAUAAUAUCCAAACAGGUUUAUAUCCAAACAGGUUUGGAAAGAGAACUAUUGCUGGGAGAGUUGUUAAGGAAAGCUAUGGUGCUGCCAAACAACAACAUACAUUUAUAACAUACUUGGGGAUCCAAAUAUUCAGGUUUUAUUUCAAAUGCACUAAGUACUCUGCUGACGAAAAGGUAAG
Camellia sinensis is the source of this 1111-nucleotide non-coding RNA. Lineage: Eukaryota; Viridiplantae; Streptophyta; Magnoliopsida; Ericales; Theaceae. The record is from RefSeq and is a predicted model, not a curated record.